CUCUACUAAACAUGCUCUCAAUUUCUUCCCUAAACCUAAUUCAUUUCACUCUCUUCUCCAUCCCUUCAUAUUCUCUCGUUACUCUCUCUCUCUCUCUCUUAUUCGACAACACCACCAGAGAGUAGUGUGCUAUGGCUACUUCGCUGCCCGCAGCACCGUGCAUAGAGGUCAUAUAGCCACCGUCGAUCUAUAUAUGGGCAACAUCGAGCGGAUCUGUGCUCGCAGUAUGCAGCGGCGGCUUCAUUGGGCGUAACACCACCACUUGUUUGUGUUGAUUGUCGACGUAAAGGCAUACCGUGACUGCUUUGAUGCCAGCAACAUCGUGCGUAGAAGUAGUGCAUCUAUAUACGGGGCAACGACGAGGCGAUCUAUGCCCAUAGCGCACAACGGUGAUUGCUGGCUUGAAAGGUUGCUACAAUGUUGUUGAGAUGAUUUUUGGGGAGGUGGUUUUCUGGCUGUCUUCUUGUCAUCUGCUUUGUUGGAGUGUUGGGGUGGUGGUGAAAGUUUGUGUUUUGUGUUGAUUGCUGGUGUGAAUGGUUGUUGCAAUGGUUUCGACAUGAUUUUUGGGGUGAUUUUUUGGUGUUUUUCUUUGGAUUUGCUUUGUUGGAGUGUUGGGAUGGUUGUUGGUGCAAGUGGUGAUGCAAGUCAUGAUAAUGUGGCGGUGCAGUGGUAGUGGGAAGAAUAGUAUUUGCAACCAAUUAUUUGAUUAAUUUGUGAUUAAUAAAUAAAUAUGUUACUUAAAAAAUGUGAUCGAAAAAUAACUUAUG
Molecule: long non-coding RNA, 767 nt
Filed under: Olea europaea subsp. europaea
Lineage: Eukaryota; Viridiplantae; Streptophyta; Magnoliopsida; Lamiales; Oleaceae
Source: RNAcentral